This 21-nucleotide microRNA is filed under the name Populus trichocarpa (black cottonwood). RNAcentral's name for it is "ptc-miR7821". Lineage: Eukaryota; Viridiplantae; Streptophyta; Magnoliopsida; Malpighiales; Salicaceae. The record is from miRBase by way of RNAcentral.
AGAUGGGCAUCGGCAUUGUGA